UAAUAAGUGUUUUAUGGCACUUUUAAAUCCACAUCCACCUUGUGUGCAAUGUCAGUCGAUCUUCUUCAUGGAGAUCGACCAAACAUCAACCUUUAUCUUUUAACUCUUUGUCUGAAAAUAUUAUGAAUAAACAAUUCAAAAUA
RNAcentral lists this unclassified non-coding RNA (143 nucleotides) under soil metagenome. Its description in RNAcentral is "partial internal transcribed spacer 1". The record is from RNAcentral.